UACACAAAGCACAUGAUGACAAAACAUUGAAACUGACUGUAUGAAGUACAUUCAAUCCAACACUGAGCUUUGUGUC
Molecule: small nucleolar RNA, 76 nt
Organism: Camarhynchus parvulus
Lineage: Eukaryota; Metazoa; Chordata; Aves; Passeriformes; Thraupidae
Source: Ensembl